CACGUCUUGAGCUGCAACCUGCUAGGCUGUGCUGCUCCACCCAUGGUCCCAAAGGCACAUGCAAAUGUCCAGAUACCCAGGACCCCUCACAUUGAAGGGAUUCUAUUUGUUCUAGAGAAAAUGUUAUGCCAAUUGAGCACUAGCUGCCACUGGCAAUGUAUUACCCUGGGUCACAAUUAAGUUCACAAGAGAAGAUAAUCA
This is a non-coding RNA of Pelobates cultripes (western spadefoot toad), 201 nucleotides long. The record is from the annotation of a GenBank genome assembly. Lineage: Eukaryota; Metazoa; Chordata; Amphibia; Anura; Pelobatidae.